RNAcentral lists this transfer RNA (73 nucleotides) under Lachnospiraceae bacterium. RNAcentral's name for it is "tRNA-Asn". It matches the Rfam family "tRNA". From Rfam's summary of the family: Transfer RNA (tRNA) molecules are approximately 80 nucleotides in length. Their secondary structure includes four short double-helical elements and three loops (D, anti-codon, and T loops). RNAcentral also lists the same sequence under 1 other name. The record is from RNAcentral. Lineage: Bacteria; Bacillati; Bacillota; Clostridia; Lachnospirales; Lachnospiraceae.
UCCUCAAUAGCUCAGUCGGUAGAGCAUUCGGCUGUUAACCGAAGUGUCGCAGGUUCGAGUCCUGCUUGGGGAG